GACGAACGCUGGCGGCGUGCUUAAAAACAUGCAAGUCGAACGGACUUCUCAUGAAGCUUGCGAUUGAGAAGUUAGUGGCGGACGGGUGAGUAACGCGUGGGCAACCUGCCCCUGAGCCCGGGAUAACAGUUCGAAAGGACUGCUAAGACCGGAUAUACUUGCGGGGAAGCAUUUCACUGCAAGGAAAGGGAACGCUCAGGGAUGGGCCCGCGUCCCAUUAGCUAGUUGGUGAGGUAACGGCCCACCAAGGCGACGAUGGGUAGCCGGCCUGAGAGGGUGAACGGCCACACUGGGACUGAGACACGGCCCAGACUCCUACGGGAGGCAGCAGUUGGGAAUCUUCGGCAAUGGGCGCAAGCCUGACCGAGCAACGCCGCGUGAGUGAUGAAGGUUUUCGGAUUGUAAAGCUCUGUCUUCCGGGACGAUAAUGACGGUACCGGAGGAGGAAGCCACGGCUAACUACGUGCCAGCAGCCGCGGUAAGCAUACUCGUA
Molecule: ribosomal RNA, 493 nt
Filed under: uncultured bacterium
Lineage: Bacteria
Description: bacterial SSU rRNA
Rfam family: Bacterial small subunit ribosomal RNA
Source: RNAcentral